This 739-nucleotide small RNA is filed under the name Pongo abelii (Sumatran orangutan). RNAcentral describes it as "processed transcript". The record is from RNAcentral. Lineage: Eukaryota; Metazoa; Chordata; Mammalia; Primates; Hominidae.
CUUUUCGGAUGUGCCGGGAGCAGGGGGCGGCCACACAACAGCAGAGGUGGUGCCCGGUUCCCUCUAGACCAGAUGUGAACGAGUGUGCAGACGGUGCCCACCCCCCCUGCCACGCCUCCGCGAGGUGCAGAAACACCAAGGGCGGCUUCCAGUGCCUCUGCGCGGACCCCUACGAGUUAGGAGACGAUGGGAGAACCUGCGUAGAUUCUGGGAGGCUCCCUCGGGCAACUUGGGUCUCCAUCUCGCUGGCUGCUCUGCUGAUCGGAGGCUUGGCAGGUCUCACCUCGACGGUGAUUUGCAGAUGGACACGUGCUGGCACUAAAUCCACACUGCCCAUCUCGGAGACAGGCGGAGGAACUCCCCAGCUGAGAUGCGGGAAGCACCGGGACGCAGGAACCUCACCGCAGCAGGCCGCAGCUCAGGACUCGGAGCAGGAGAGUGCUGGGAUACUCAAAGGCUGCCGAGAGCCCUCUGAGGGCAAAGUGGCAGGACACUGAAUCCUGCAGAACAGCUUCGUGUUCCCAAAAUCACCGUACGACUAUUUUCCAAACACAGGCAAAUCCAAAAUCACCAGGACGACUGUUUUCCAAACACGGGCAAAUCUAGUACUAUGUUGUAAUUACUCUCAGGCAUGGAUGAAUAAAUAUUAUAGCUGCAUCUGUCUGGCCUUUUCUUGUAAACAAACAUUGCCUGAUUUGUUCCUUCUGGGGCUUUGCCAUUAAAAUGUAUUUACAGAUUA